UAUUAAAAGUCCAUUGGAGAUUAUGGGGUCGUGUGACAAGCGGUCGGGCGCGUUUUGCAUCUGGUCAUCAUUGUAUGGUCAGGGCACGCAGUCCGUCGCCCCCGGGGGAGACCAACCGUGCACGGUGUGGUGCGAGGCACUUUGUGUGUUCCCGUCACCCACGCGCACGCCUCUUUCGGCUCGCGGCGCCCAGGAAUGAAGGAGGGUAGUUCGGGGGAGAACGUAUUGGUGCGUCAGAGGUGAAAUUCUUAGACCGCCUUAAGACGAACUACAGCGAAGGCAUUCUCCAAGGAUACCUUCCUCAAUCAAGAACCAAAGUGUGGAGAUCGAAGAU
RNAcentral lists this ribosomal RNA (334 nucleotides) under Trypanosoma gilletti. RNAcentral describes it as "SSU rRNA". It matches the Rfam family "Eukaryotic small subunit ribosomal RNA", at positions 697 to 1005 of the family's 1831-position model. The record is from RNAcentral. Lineage: Eukaryota; Euglenozoa; Kinetoplastea; Trypanosomatida; Trypanosomatidae.